CCUACGGUGGGCAGCAGUGGGGGAUAUUGCACAAUGGGGGAAACCCUGAUGCAGCGACGCCGCGUGUGGGAAGACGGUCCUCUGGAUUUUAAACCACUGUCCCCAGGGACGAAGAUGACGGUACCUGGGGAGGACGCUCCGGCUAACUACGUGCCAGCAGCCGCGGUAAUACGUAGGGAGCGAGCGUUGUCCGGAAUUACUGGGUGUAAAGGGAGCGUAGGCGGGACUGCAAGUUGGGUGUCAAAUCUACCGGCUCAACCGGUAGCCGCACUCAAAACUGCAGUUCUUGAGUGAAGUAGAGGCAGGCGGAAUUCCUAGUGUAGCGGUUAAAUGCGUAGAUAUUAGGAGGAACACCAGUGGCGAAGGCGGCCUGCUGGGCUUUUACUGACGCUGAGGCUCGAAAGUGUGGGGAGCAAACAGGAUUAGAUACCCGAGUAGUC
RNAcentral lists this ribosomal RNA (440 nucleotides) under uncultured bacterium. Its description in RNAcentral is "partial 16S ribosomal RNA". It matches the Rfam family "Bacterial small subunit ribosomal RNA", at positions 338 to 795 of the family's 1533-position model. The record is from RNAcentral.